UGGGGAAUAUUGGACAAUGGGCGAAAGCCUGAUCCAGCCAUGCCGCGUGUGUGAAGAAGGCCUUUUGGUUGUAAAGCACUUUAAGCGAGGAGGAGGCUACUAGUACUAAUACUACUGGAUAGUGGACGUUACUCGCAGAAUACGCACCGGCUAACUCUGUGCCAGCAGCCGCGGUAAUACAGAGGGUGCGAGCGUUAAUCGGAUUUACUGGGCGUAAAGCGUGCGUAGGCGGCUGGUUAAGUCGGAUGUGAAAUCCCUGAGCUUAACUUAGGAAUUGCAUUCGAUACUGGUCAGCUAGAGUAUGGGAGAGGAUGGUAGAAUUCCAGGUGUAGCGGUGAAAUGCGUAGAGAUCUGGAGGAAUACCGAUGGCGAAGGCAGCCAUCUGGCCUAAUACUGACGCUGAGGUACGAAAGCAUGGGGAGCAAACAGG
RNAcentral lists this ribosomal RNA (430 nucleotides) under Pseudomonadota bacterium. RNAcentral's name for it is "Proteobacteria bacterium partial 16S ribosomal RNA". It matches the Rfam family "Bacterial small subunit ribosomal RNA", at positions 355 to 776 of the family's 1533-position model. The record is from RNAcentral. Lineage: Bacteria; Pseudomonadati; Pseudomonadota.